UAAAGGGCCGCGGUAUAUUGACCGUGCGAAGGUAGCAUAAUCAUUAGUUUUUUAAUUAAAGGCUAGAAUGAAUGGUUGGACAAAAGGUAGUCUGUCUCUAUAUUAUAUUUAAAAUUUGAUUUUUAAGUGAAAAAGCUUAAAUAAAAUAAAGUGACGAUAAGACCCUAUAAAGUUUUACAUUUAAUUAUAAAUAAUGUAAAAAUUAACUAUAAAUAUAAUAUAAAAUAAAUGUUAUGUUGGGGCGACAAAAAUAUAAAAUUUAACUGUUUAUAAAUUAUAUCUAAGAUAUUAGGAUUUAAUUAGUAAUUGAUCCUUAUUUUAAAGAUUAAAAGAUAAAAUUACUUUAGGGAUAACAGCGUAAUUUUUUUUGAGAGUUCAUAUCGACAAAAAUAGUUGCGACCUCGAUGUUGAAUUAAAAUUUCUUUGUGGUGUAGUUGUUACGUAA
Molecule: ribosomal RNA, 445 nt
Filed under: Micraspides calmani
Lineage: Eukaryota; Metazoa; Arthropoda; Malacostraca; Anaspidacea; Koonungidae
Description: partial 16S ribosomal RNA
Rfam family: Bacterial large subunit ribosomal RNA
Source: RNAcentral